CGUCAUUUUGUCAGAAUCGCGAAAGUAACUCAUCCAAAAGAUGUCAAAUGGAUUCUUAUUAAAACAUCUUAAAUUGAAAUAUAAAGAACUACGUAGGGUCUUCGAUAUGUUUAUUUAGAAAAAAAAAUCGAUUCCAAGAGGACACUCGGUCAUCUUGGGGCCGCUCCGUAUACGGUGGAGGACGGUGCUCCGGUAGACGGGCUACGCGAGAUGCACAGGACGAUUAGAACGAAUGGUCGUUAUAAAUCAGUUCCCUCGUUGGACCCAACUUGCGAGGAGACGCGGAAUACGAAAAAGAGAGAGAGAGAGAAGCUCCUUGGGGGAACUGAGAUUUCGUCGUACACCUUUCUCUCCUCCUCCUCCUCCUGCGCUCAGUUCAGUCCGUUUUCUCGGCGCAUUCUAAUCUACUCGCUCUCCGCGGGCACCCAAAUAAUCCUGAUCCACUGACAUCUCGCCUGUAGCGGCAAUGUCCCGACCGGAAUAAAUGGCCGAGGCGGGAUGCAAGAUCACGGUGACAUCACGAGGAGGACAUGGUCCUGGGAGGACGUAAUUAUCCGUGAAGCUCUUAUAUCGAGAUUUCCUGCACUAUACCCGAGAAGUUCUAGUUAGACGUUAAUGUGCAAUGCCCGCUGCAUACAAUCGUCUUUUCAAUAUUACUUUGAUAGAAAUUAUUUGUCCAUUUUUUCCUUUUAACUCUAUUUUAUUUCUAUUAUAAUAUAAAAUAUUUUUUUCUAUUAACAUAUAAAAUGUCAUUUUCCUACAGCGUGUAAACUAAUUAAUUAGAGUAUUCCCGUGUUUUAUUUCGACAUAAUUGUAAUUUUGUUUAAUUCGUUCUAUUGUCUAUUAUAUAAAUUGUAAGAAAAAAAAUAAAUACUCAA
RNA transcript from Wasmannia auropunctata (little fire ant), 878 nucleotides. RefSeq lists it as uncharacterized. The record is from RefSeq and is a predicted model, not a curated record. The transcript is spliced from 2 exons. NCBI's taxonomy places the organism in Eukaryota, Metazoa, Arthropoda, Insecta, Hymenoptera, Formicidae.